This 168-nucleotide small RNA is filed under the name Robbsia andropogonis. RNAcentral's name for it is "Burkholderia andropogonis Manganese sequence". It matches the Rfam family "Manganese Mn2+ riboswitch aptamer (yybP-ykoY)". Rfam says of the family: This RNA was originally discovered in E. coli during a large scale screen and was named SraF. The family was later found to exist upstream of related families of protein genes in many bacteria, including the the yybP and ykoK genes in B. subtilis. The record is from RNAcentral. Lineage: Bacteria; Pseudomonadati; Pseudomonadota; Betaproteobacteria; Burkholderiales; Burkholderiaceae.
CUGCUUGUCUUUGGGGAGUAGCCGGCUUCCAUCCGGAAGCAGUUGCGUCAACAUUCUCGGUCGGCCAGACCGUGGCGCAGCUACCCUGCUUUAGGUUGGCGAGACCAUCGACACAUCGCCGCAACCGGUCGAGUGCAGCGAUGUGUCGUGGUUUAUUGCCCGACCUAG